Small nucleolar RNA from Dioscorea cayenensis subsp. rotundata (Guinea yam), 107 nucleotides. NCBI's taxonomy places the organism in Eukaryota, Viridiplantae, Streptophyta, Magnoliopsida, Dioscoreales, Dioscoreaceae. The record is from RefSeq and is a predicted model, not a curated record.
AAACCAUGUUGAGGGUACUUCCGCAAAAGAUCCUUGAACCAUUCCCAUGUCUCAAACAAUGAUUCUAGCUCCAUCUGAAUAUAUGAAGAGAUCUCAUUGUAAAGCUU